This 1954-nucleotide long non-coding RNA is filed under the name Ricinus communis (castor bean). Its description in RNAcentral is "long non-coding RNA (RCOM_LNC001483)". The record is from RNAcentral. Lineage: Eukaryota; Viridiplantae; Streptophyta; Magnoliopsida; Malpighiales; Euphorbiaceae.
UAGGGAUUCUGAUUGUAAAUGCUGUUUAGUAUCUUGUUGAUUUCAUCUUCGAAAUGAUAAGCUAAUCCAAGUCUUUGCAACGUAUCAAUCAGUUCGAGCUGAUCCAGAGGAAUCACAACUCCGGUAAGCAUCGUCUUAACACUUUCCUUCAACUGGUUAAUUCGUUUUAUAUAUGAUUCUCCCUGGAUCGCCAUCAAGAAUUUUCUUUUUAGACUUUCUGCGAAUAUGAAAAAUCUUAACAAUAAGAAUAACAUCCCCAUAUCCAUAUUGUCUCGCUUUCUUUCUUUCUUUCUAAUCGGCAAUGGAAAAACUCAACAGGGAUGAUAUUAAUAAACUAUCUCACUUUUACACGCAAUGAAUUGUCUUAUAUUGCAUGAGUACAAGACUUUUAGGUUCAGAUGCUAUUAUAAAGAUCAAUAAGCACAACAAGAAACAGAUAAAAAAAAGGAACCAAGCAUAAUUAUGAGAAAAAAGAAGGCAAAAUAAUAUAUGUAUAUACCACAAAUUCAUUCUUGAGUGAUUGCACAAAGCUGUAAUCCCAAAUUGGAGAGUGAUAAUUUGCAGAACGUCUGAUUACAAUUUCAUUUGACAUUUUUGGUCCAACCAUGCAUCUAAUUAGGUUAGAAAAAUAACAAUUAUAUGGUGACUUUAACUGUGUACUGUAUGAUAGUUUAGCGGGAUUGCCAUUACUAAAAUAAGAGGCAGAAGAAAAUAGAAGUGCCAUUUGGAAGGGCUUUAGGAUAUUAGGUUACUGAAGGAGGUGGUAGUAUUUAAACCCGCCUGCAGAAUUCAUUUAUCUCGUUCAAUUGGAAGUAAAUUCUUCUCGGUAAAUAAAUUCAUUUCAUUGUUGUUAAAAAAAGGGGCUUUGAGAUGGUCCUGCCAUGUACUGCCAAUUUGUUAGCUCCUGUCGGCAAGUGCAUCCUACCCUACGGAUAAAUGCUCAUUUUGUUAGCUCAAUAGAAGAUUAUCCACGUGAUGAUCUCUAUCCCACAAAUAUCACUUCAUCAGUCACGGAAGAUUAUCCACGUGAUUAUCUCUAUCCCAAAAAUAUCAAAAUGCAAAAGUUUUGAUAGCUCUCUCCUAAAAAUCAAUUAUACAUGGCAGAUAAUUCUUGUAAGUGCGGUUUGAUUGAAGAAUUCAUAAUAUUGAGCUAUGAACUAUUAUUGUGAUUGAUAUGCAUCAUAUUAUACAUAUUUACAUGCCUAAUUUUUUACAUUUUUGUGCAUAGUUAUCUCGUUUUAUAUUAAAAUCACUUGUCUUUUGGUUCCUUUUACGUUUCAGGUCAUUAUCAAGGGACAUUGUCAAUAAUUGAGGGAAAUACGCGCAAUUAUGGACCAUAAUCUAUCAAAUUGAGCAAGGACUAGCAUUCCAAGGUUGAGCACGCCCUGGACUCCGGCUGUGCUGAAUCAUCAAAUAGUUGCCCUCCAAAAGUGCCAUAGUGGCACGGUUUCCGAAGCCACCACGGUCCGUGGUGGCACAGCACCAUCUAGGGCACAGCCUGGAAGAAGUCAACAGAUGCGGAACGCGGAGGUCCAACACGGCUUGGACUCUACUCGUGCUGAUUAGCACAGGCUUGACCACAGACGUGCUGAAGGGGAUUAUAUAGGCAAAAACGAUUUGCUGAAUUAGGGUUCGACUUUCUGACUUGAUUUCCAUUAUACAAGCUUAGACCAUCUUCUUCCAGACUUUAAUACUCGACCUUAUAAGUUCAUUUCAUCUAUUGAAGGAAGGUUAUAACUAUUUUAUCAUCAAAUUGAAGAUCAAGACAAGAUUUGGGAGCACUCAAGAGGCAAAUUAGGGUUUACUAUUCUGAAUUGGGAAUUUAGAGUUUCUUAUCCAACUUGAAGAAGAAAGGUGUACAUGCCAUUAAUUUACUUUUCUGAAUCUAUUCUUUAUUUUGUGUUCCUUAUUAGUAUGAGUAACUAAAUUGUCAAACCCAUUUGGGGUCCCUAAG